This 734-nucleotide ribosomal RNA is filed under the name uncultured fungus. RNAcentral describes it as "eukaryotic LSU rRNA". The stretch from base 308 to 461 matches the Rfam family "5.8S ribosomal RNA". The record is from RNAcentral. Lineage: Eukaryota; Fungi.
CUUGGUCAUUUAGAGGAAGUAAAAGUCGUAACAAGGUUUCCGUAGGUGAACCUGCGGAAGGAUCAUUAUUGAAUGAACUUGGUGUGGUUGUCGCUGGCCCUCUUGGGGGCAUGUGCACACCUACCAUCCUCAUCUCUCCACCUGUGCACCUCUUGUAGAUUUGGAAUUGAUUAUCCGAGGCAACUCGGUCGUGAGGACUGCUAGCACUUAGCUGGCUUUCUUUGCAAUUCCAGGUCUAUGUUUUUCAUAUACCCCAUUGUAUGUAACAGAAUGUAUCAUUGGGCCCUUGUGCCUAUAAACCUUAUACAACUUUCAGCAACGGAUCUCUUGGCUCUCGCAUCGAUGAAGAACGCAGCGAAAUGCGAUAAGUAAUGUGAAUUGCAGAAUUCAGUGAAUCAUCGAAUCUUUGAACGCACCUUGCGCUCCUUGGUAUUCCGAGGAGCAUGCCUGUUUGAGUGUCAUUAAAUUCUCAACCAAUAUCAACUUUUGCUGAUAAUGGCUUGGAUGUGGGGGUCCAUUUUGCUGGCUUCUCAGAUAGUCAGCUCCCCUUAAAUGCAUUAGCCGGUGCCCCGCGUGGACUGUCUAUUGGUGUGAUAAUUAUCUACGCUAUAGACAUCUGCAAUCAUAUGGGUUUGCGCUGCUUCUAACAGUCUGUUGAUUCAGACAAAACAUGACAAUUUGACCUCAAAUCAGGUAGGACUACCCGCUGAACUUAAGCAUAUCAAUAAGCGGAG